This 522-nucleotide ribosomal RNA is filed under the name Vagococcus carniphilus. Its description in RNAcentral is "bacterial SSU rRNA". It matches the Rfam family "Bacterial small subunit ribosomal RNA", at positions 919 to 1442 of the family's 1533-position model. The record is from RNAcentral. Lineage: Bacteria; Bacillati; Bacillota; Bacilli; Lactobacillales; Enterococcaceae.
GCCCGCACAAGCGGUGGAGCAUGUGGUUUAAUUCGAAGCAACGCGAAGAACCUUACCAGGUCUUGACAUCCUUUGACCACUCUAGAGAUAGAGCUUUCCCUUCGGGGACAAAGUGACAGGUGGUGCAUGGUUGUCGUCAGCUCGUGUCGUGAGAUGUUGGGUUAAGUCCCGCAACGAGCGCAACCCUUAUUGUUAGUUGCCAUCAUUCAGUUGGGCACUCUAGCGAGACUGCCGGUGACAAACCGGAGGAAGGUGGGGAUGACGUCAAAUCAUCAUGCCCCUUAUGACCUGGGCUACACACGUGCUACAAUGGACGGUACAAUGAGUCGCAAGACCGCGAGGUUUAGCUAAUCUCUUAAAGCCGUUCUCAGUUCGGAUUGUAGGCUGCAACUCGCCUACAUGAAGCCGGAAUCGCUAGUAAUCGUGGAUCAGCACGCCACGGUGAAUACGUUCCCGGGCCUUGUACACACCGCCCGUCACACCACGAGAGUUUGUAACACCCAAAGUCGGUGAGGUAACCUU